GCGCCAUCCACUGAACUCGCGUUCGUCAUCGUCUUCACGGGUUCCUGUCGCCGCCGUCGUCCCCGCCGUGAAGCCUGUCACCGUUGCUGCAGCUGUCAGCGUCGUCGUCCAUGGGUGAAGCAGAGGAGAGAGAUCCGCGAGGAAGGGAGGACCACGCCCGUCCAGCCGCCGCGCACAGUCGCCGCUCAUGUUGCCAGUGCCAUCCCCGUCAGAUCCGCCAUUGCCGAAGCUUCUGGCCGUGCCUCUGUCGCCGGACAACACCGCUGCCACUUGGAACCCCCAUUGAAGUCGGUAUCUGUGUGGUAAGCGCUAAGCUUGCUUCAGCUUCUUUGUCUAUUAAGUUGGUUUUUACCGUGAGGGUGGUUGCUGAGAUUAUCUGUGUCAGGAUGUAUGGUCACAUGGUCACUGCAAGUUUUUCUGUCCUACGCCACCAUUGGAGCCGCCCAACCGAUGCUGAAAUCCCUGCUGCUUUGUGUUCUUUUAUAGGAUCAAUAGCCGAGCUUACAUGUAGUGAUUGAGGCUGUCUCUGCUUUUGGGAAAGCAAGCGGAGCAGAGGCUUCAGUUGCCGCUGAUUUUGGACUGAGAGAAACGAGUUCAGUUGACGCGUUUGGAUUAUGGUUUCGCGUGUCGAGGAACCGGAUGAAGAAGCAUUAAGAAGAGUUAUAUUGCGUUUGGUUUAUAUGCUGUUGUAUUAUUUAGAUUAUUUUCUUCCCUCGUCUUUGUGACUACAAGUUUGUAAGAGGGAUAGGAAUUGUAUGUUUUAUAUGUAUAAUAUAUUGAGUUAUUAUGUAAGGAGUUUUGUAUAUGAA
Arachis duranensis is the source of this 809-nucleotide long non-coding RNA. RefSeq lists it as uncharacterized. The transcript is spliced from 3 exons. The record is from RefSeq and is a predicted model, not a curated record. Lineage: Eukaryota; Viridiplantae; Streptophyta; Magnoliopsida; Fabales; Fabaceae.